This 466-nucleotide ribosomal RNA is filed under the name uncultured bacterium. RNAcentral's name for it is "partial 16S ribosomal RNA". It matches the Rfam family "Bacterial small subunit ribosomal RNA", at positions 28 to 507 of the family's 1533-position model. The record is from RNAcentral.
GAUGAACGCUGGCGGCGUGCUUAACGCAUGCAAGUCGAACGAUGAAGCCCAGCUUGCUGGGUGGAUUAGUGGCGAACGGGUGAGUAACACGUGAGUAACCUGCCCUUAACUCUGGGAUAAGCCUGGGAAACUGGGUCUAAUACCGGAUAGGAGCGUCCACCGCAUGGUGGGUGUUGGAAAGAUUUAUCGGUUUUGGAUGGACUCGCGGCCUAUCAGCUUGUUGGUGAGGUAAUGGCUCACCAAGGCGACGACGGGUAGCCGGCCUGAGAGGGUGACCGGCCACACUGGGACUGAGACACGGCCCAGACUCCUACGGGAGGCAGCAGUGGGGAAUAUUGCACAAUGGGCGCAAGCCUGAUGCAGCGACGCCGCGUGAGGGAUGACGGCCUUCGGGUUGUAAACCUCUUUCAGUAGGGAAGAAGCGAAAGUAACGGUACCUGCAGAAGAAGCACCGGCUAACUACGUG